Molecule: unclassified non-coding RNA, 279 nt
Filed under: plant metagenome
Description: partial contains small subunit ribosomal RNA, internal transcribed spacer 1, and 5.8S ribosomal RNA
Source: RNAcentral
UUUCCGUAGGGGAACCUGCGGAAGGAUCAUUAUUGUUCAAAGUGUGAGUAGCGUGCGAGGACUGUCGCUGACACAAAACUCGUGCACACCCGAGUGUGUCUUCUUGCCUGCUAAUCCACCACACCCCUUGUGGUUACCUGCGGGGGCUAUAUCCGGGCUCAUCUCGAGUGAUGUUGUCUGUUUUCUCUUAUAAAUCCCUUUUAAAAAUAUACAAUUACCAACAACAUACCAUUAAUCCAACUUUCAACAACGGAACGCUUGGCUCCCGCAUCGCACAAG